GGAAUUUUCCGCAAUGGGCGAAAGCCUGACGGAGCAAUACCGCGUGAGGGAUGACGGCCUGUGGGUUGUAAACCUCUUUUCUCAAGGAAGAAGUUCUGACGGUACUUGAGGAAUAAGCAUCGGCUAACUCUGUGCCAGCAGCCGCGGUAAUACAGAGGAUGCAAGCGUUAUCCGGAAUCACUGGGCAUAAAGCGUCUGUAGGUUGUUUAGUAAGUCUGCUGUUAAAGACUGGGGCUCAACCCCAGAAAAGCAGUGGAAACUGCUAGACUUGAGUGUGGUAGAGGUAGAGGGAAUUUCCAGUGGAGCGGUGAAAUGCGUAGAUAUUGGAAAGAACACCGAUGGCGAAGGCACUUUACUGGGCUAUUACUGACACUCAGAGACGAAAGCUAGGGUAGCAAAUGGGAUUAGAUACCCCAGUAGUC
RNAcentral lists this ribosomal RNA (422 nucleotides) under Dinophysis miles. Its description in RNAcentral is "bacterial SSU rRNA". It matches the Rfam family "Bacterial small subunit ribosomal RNA", at positions 358 to 795 of the family's 1533-position model. The record is from RNAcentral. Lineage: Eukaryota; Dinophyceae; Dinophysales; Dinophysaceae.